Molecule: microRNA precursor, 99 nt
Organism: Pan paniscus (pygmy chimpanzee)
Lineage: Eukaryota; Metazoa; Chordata; Mammalia; Primates; Hominidae
Source: Ensembl
GAGGUGGGUGGAUCGCUUGAGCCUGGGAGGAAGAGGCUGCAGUGAGCUGUGGUCAUGCCACUGCACUCCAGCCUGAGUGACAGAGAAAGACCUUGUCUC